AUUGAACGCUGGCGGCAUGCCUUACACAUGCAAGUCGAACGGUAACGCGGGGCAGCCUGGCGACGAGUGGCGAACGGGUGAGUAAUGUAUCGGAACGUGCCCAGUUGUGGGGGAUAACUGCUCGAAAGAGCAGCUAAUACCGCAUACGACCUGAGGGUGAAAGCGGGGGAUCGCAAGACCUCGCGCAAUUGGAGCGGCCGAUAUCAGAUUAGGUAGUUGGUGAGGUAAAGGCUCACCAAGCCGACGAUCUGUAGCUGGUCUGAGAGGACGACCAGCCACACUGGGACUGAGACACGGCCCAGACUCCUACGGGAGGCAGCAGUGGGGAAUUUUGGACAAUGGACGCAAGUCUGAUCCAGCCAUGCCGCGUGCGGGAAGAAGGCCUUCGGGUUGUAAACCGCUUUUGUCAGGGAAGAAACGCUCUGGGUUAAUACCUCGGGGUGAUGACGGUACCUGAAGAAUAAGCACCGGCUAACUACGUGCCAGCCGCCGCAGUAA
RNAcentral lists this ribosomal RNA (498 nucleotides) under uncultured bacterium. RNAcentral's name for it is "partial 16S ribosomal RNA". It matches the Rfam family "Bacterial small subunit ribosomal RNA", at positions 29 to 523 of the family's 1533-position model. The record is from RNAcentral.